Molecule: long non-coding RNA, 1366 nt
Organism: Bos grunniens (domestic yak)
Lineage: Eukaryota; Metazoa; Chordata; Mammalia; Artiodactyla; Bovidae
Source: Ensembl
AUGUACUCAUCCUGUCAUUUUACCAGUCUUUACUUCAGAGAAGCUGAGUUGUUGUAUUUCCCUGAGGCAGCAAAUUCAUUUGCAAACACAAAGGCUCAGGGAAAUUUGCGCCCUAUUACACAGUCUCCAAAUAUUCCAGACUUGCUAAGACUCCAGUCGAAAAGGGUCAAGGCAGUUCAUCAGAUUCCCUUCCUAAUUCUCAACUUCCAAAGCAAGUUCUUCCCAGAGCACAGACAAAGGAAGACUAUCUGGCUGCCUAGUCUACAGCCCUGAGGACAAAAGCAUCAUCAGUGACAAGGAGACGUCCUGCUGGGGAGUAAGAUUUUACCGAGACCCAGUUGAGGAGACAUAUGUGGGGAACUUGGAUCGUCUGAGACAAGCUGUCAAUGCCAGGCAAGCAGCGAUAUGCGGUAAGCAGGCUAAAGGAAGAGAGAGUGAGCCUUGGCUUACACUCUUUGCAGAUGUCUCUGAGGCAAAUGCUUCCACCAUGGCUAAUUUCAAGCUACCGAUGAUGAAAUGCCUGAAUAUUUAACAGUUGGCCUUCAGGGGUGGUACGAGCCAGCUCAAGCACAUCCUACCCAGUCAUUUUGGAAAGAUGAGGUCACUUCCUGUCAAUUUGUUACCAUAUGAGUGAUGAUGUGCCUUUCCAAAGUAGGUACGUGGUCAUCCCUAUGAAGUGCAGUAUGCUCUGUACCCUAACUCCACCCCUAUAAUAGCAGUGCUCACUGAAGACUAAACAGAAUUAAUAUGGGGAGUCACCACAAAUCAGUGCCUGUCAAAACUGGUGAAAGUGGAAUCGAGUGUGUAGUUUUUAUCGUACCAAAGUCAGUUUCCUGGCUUUGCUAUUAUACUAUAGUCAUGAGUUGUUGCCAUAGGGAGAAGUUAUAUGGGGUUCCUAUUUUCCCAACUUUGUGUUUAUAAUUAUUUUAAACUAUUUAUAUUUAUUUAUUGGCUAUGCUAGAUUUUACUUGCAGCACGUGGAAUUUUCAAUCUUCAUUGCAGCAUGCUGCAUCUUUAGCUGGGGUUACAAACUCUUAGUUGUAGCAUGUGGGAUCUAGUUCUGUGACCAGGAAUCACACCCAAGCCCCCUGCAUUGGAAGCAUGGAAUCUUAGUCACUGGGCCACCAGGGAAGUCUCUAUAAUUAUUUUAAAAUAAAAAGUUUGAGGGGAAUCCUCAAAAAUAUGGGAAAAUAUAUAGAUGAGAGUAAAAUUUCCCCCAAAAUUAUACCACACAGAAUUAUCAUCUCAUUAGGUGACCAUCAUCUUAGACAUUUUUCUUUGUAAAUAUUCAGGUGGAAGGAGAAGGGUCGAGGCUAUUUUUAGGAAAAUAGAGUCCUUUGUGUGUGUCAGUCACUCAGUCAUGUCC